RNAcentral lists this long non-coding RNA (6103 nucleotides) under Solanum tuberosum (potato). RNAcentral describes it as "long non-coding RNA (STUB_LNC010238)". The record is from RNAcentral. Lineage: Eukaryota; Viridiplantae; Streptophyta; Magnoliopsida; Solanales; Solanaceae.
UUUUACUUCAAUUGUUGCUUGCAAGACCAUAAAGGUAACGAUUGCAUGCAAAAAUAUGGAAAAAAAGAGGAGAAAAAGAUGAAGACGAUCACUCAGAAUGAUAAGCGCUCAAGGUGCUUGACAAAAAGACCAAAGAAAAAAAAAAAACACCAAAAAGAGCACUUGUGCUCCUAAUUGGAUAUGGAAACAGAGAGAAAAAAUAUCUAACAAAUGGAUAAAGCCAUGGAGAAGAUGGUGUAGUGGGUUAAAAGAUUGAUUCCAAGAUUGCCAAAUUGAUUGCAGGACAACCAUAGCUCUGGAUACUCGAGCUCAAGCACCCUCCCCUACCGCUUUUCAGGUACAAAAGUCCUCCCUUAUGGCUGCCUUCUAGACUUAAAAUUUUUAAUCACAUUUGCAGUUACUUGUUAAUGUAUUAAAGAAUAGACACAUUAUUUAACCGUGAUAAGAGCUUAUGCCUUUUGGUGUUUUGAUGAUCUCCUCACAAGUGCAGGGACCUGGUCCUCUGCAGAGUAUGAAUACUCGUCCAGCUGUUAAAGUGCGGUACAGCUGUAAAAGUUGUCUGCGUCAGAAAGUUGAUAAAGCUGCAGAGUACUUCACCAAUCAGAAGCNNNNNNNNNNNNNNNNNNNNNNNNNNNNNNNNNNNNNNNNNNNNNNNNNNNNNNNNNNNNNNNNNNNNNNNNNNNNNNNNNNNNNNNNNNNNNNNNNNNNNNNNNNNNNNNNNNNNNNNNNNNNNNNNNNNNNNNNNNNNNNNNNNNNNNNNNNNNNNNNNNNNNNNNNNNNNNGUUGCUGCUUAGUCAAAUUCUAAGUCAUCUAGGAGCUAGUUGAUUUAGUGGGCGGUGUGGUAUCCGCUUAGCAAAGUCUAAGUUAUCUAAGGGUGAUAGCUUAGUGGGCAGUGUUGUAUCUGCUCUGGCUCAUCUAAGUAAUAGGAGGUAUUGCUUAGAGUUGGGAUUAGUAGGCUAAUCUCGGUUUGUAAACUUGCUUUUACUUUUGCUUGGAGAAGAUUAGUGAAAGAAGUUUGAAAAGUCCUGGCAGGCCAGGUCGUGGUUUUACUCCCUUGAGCAAGGAGGUUUCCACGUAAAGUUGUUGUGCAAUCUUUACUUUCAGCACUUUGUUUAUUUUCUGUUAUUGUAACUGUGCUGAGGACCUGAUCCCAUAGAAAACGUGGACGCAUACAUUCCAACAAGUGGUAUCAGAGCGGUACUUUUCGUUUUGGUUAACACCAAGAAAAGAAAAAAUCCAAAAGGAAUGGCUGCUCCACCCAAUAUGGAAGAAGGUCAGUCUUCUACUAGGCCACCGCGUUUUAAUGGUCAAUAUUAUGGCUGGUGGAAGAAUCGAAUGCAUGACUACACCAAGCACAACCAUUGUUUUACUAGCUCCCUCGUUGUAUACUACAUAUUAUAUUUUUAACAUAGGGAUGACAAAGAAUAAAUAUAUCUCAGUUCUAACAACUAGCAAACAAUAUGUCAAAGUUCCCAACUUAUUAAACAAAUCAACAGACUAAAAUAAGAAAGUUUUGUGAUUGUAACAGGCUGCUAUAUUGCUUCAGCAUUUUCCCCACGGACUUCAGAAAAAAUCACUAAUUAUCUUAGUCUUCCUUUUGUGAUUAAGGACUUUUUGUCUUGCCAGGCUAACAGGCAACAAAAAGUAUGUAAUUCUUCUAACUUCAGGACUCUAUGAUACACUUGCUUGCUAUAUUUGAUCCAUCAACAGGCUAUGGCAGAACGAACUGUGAUGGCAAGGCAGAAAUGAAGUCUACCAAAUCAUUUAGAUUCUUAUGUGAAGUACCAUCAAUCUGCAUACCAGCAACUAUGUUUUGUUUCAUGUCUACUACUCGUUUCUUCAGAUCUUUGCCUUCUUCACUUAACAUUAGUUUUCUUACUGUUUUCUCAAUGACCGUUCUCUCGAUAACCUCCAAUUCAAACCCAACCUUGUAUAUUUGGCUCAGAUACCUAGCUGUCAGCGGCUGGUCUGCUACAAAUGGCCUGCAUAUCAAAGGGACUUCCUCCAAAAUACUUUCAAGUGUAGAAUUCCAACCACAAUGAGUGAAAAGCCUGCUACCGUGGGAUGUGCAAGCACCUGUUUUUGUGGUGCCCAUUUCACUAUUCGUCCUCUUUCUCCUACUAUUUUCUCAAAAUCAUCAGGCAGUGCCUCAGCACAUUGAAAGCCAGAGACAGAUCCCGGUCGAAUAACCCACAAGAAUGGUUGAUCACUAUUAGCUAAUCCCCAAGCCGUCUCAAUUAACUCUUUGUCAUCAAUUCUCAUUUGGCUACCUAAGCUGACAUAGAGAACAGAGUUAGGAGCUUGUCUGUCGAGCCACUUGAUGCAGCUGUUAUCUUCUUGUAGUAUGCUAGUCGAUGAGGCCAUAGGCACCAUUUUGUGAAAAGGGCCUAUUGCAUAGAAGGGCACCUUGUAAUGUUCUUGAAGGCGUAACAAUAUGGAAUUCUCCAUGUCUUGCAUCGUGUUCCAAAUAGUCGCAACAGAUGAUCCUAUAUUGCUGAUUGCUCUAAAGAAGUCUAGUACCGGUUCUGCAACUGUAUUAUUAACAACAGGGAUUGGUACAUCCUUAAACCUCAAGGGAUGAAGCUCUGGUAACGGAUCCAACAACUGAGAAUCUGGAAUUGUAGUGAGUAAUUAAUGCAAGCUUAAGUGAAAGAUACAACAUAACGGAAGAAAAAGAUUAUAGGCUGAAUUAUCCUUGCAGUACUCGCUUUGUUCCAUUUUACUUGUCAUUUUUUUUUGCACGCCCCAUAAGAAAACAAUAACUAAAAGUGUAAUUUGAUCAAAUUAUCCUUAUUUAUUAUUUGAUCUCAAUUUAAUACUACUCUCUUUUCCACCACAUUAAUAUCUUUCCACAUUUAUUGUGUAAAGAUAAAAGUGAAAACUAAUACUUAGUUAAUUAUAUCUUGGUUUUCUAAAAUGGCAAUUAUCUUGGACCAUCUAUUUUUUGCAAGGACGGCAAGUAAAAUCAACUGGAAAGGGUACCUUUCAUUUCUAUUUUUAUUUUCUAUAAUGUUGGCUUGUGAUGAAUGUAAAUAGGGACCAUGGUCAGUGAAGAUUCACAUAGCCGACCUCAACUUGUUUGUGACUGAAGCAUACUUAUUGUUAUCGAAAUGAUUUUUCAUUAAAAUCUUGAAGCAGAGGAUGUGUUUGUUCUCAUACCUUCAAAAGGAAAAUAUUUUUCUGGUUGCUGAAAAAUGGUGAUCAUAGAGUGCAAAUAUGUAGCACUGGAAGUGUGCAGGACAAUGCUGGGAAGCCUUAACUGAGUGGCUACAUCAUCUACGAAAAUCAUGACAUUAUCAUAAAUGAUACAAGCGAGCUGAUCACCUUCCUCUUUCAUCAUCUUAACAAGGUAGUUUCUGAGGGGCACCUUGCAGUUCUCAUUCAAAUCAUGUAUGUUCUCUAAACUCGGUAAUGAUAUUUCAAUUCCCUUUAAUCCGUCAUCCAUAGAAUGGAAGCCGAAUUCAGGAUGAUUGGAAUAUUUAGGAGUAUUGUAUUCAGGAUGUGCAAUUAUAACAGAAAAGCCUUGUGAGUGAAGGAUACUUCCAAGCUGCAGCAUUGGUGUUAAAUGCCCCUGGAAUGGGUAUGGUACUAGUACUACACUCUGUUUUCUUUCAAUUUUCAUCUUUUUUUUCUUGAGUUUCUCUUCUAUUCAAGAGUUUAGUAAUAGUGUUCUUGAAGGAAGUUUAUAUAUACAAGUUUAUAGUUAAUUUUGUACUAGUUAAUUUAAUUUGUUUUAACUUUGUAUUAUUAAGGUCAAAACUUCAUUUACAAAUUUUGUAUUGGUUAGUUUAAUUUGUUUUACCUUUGUAUUGUUUAGGUCAAAACUUCAUUUACAAUUUUUGUACUAGUUAAUUUAAUUUGUUUGACCUUUGUAUUAAGGUCAAAACUCCCUUUACAAAUUUUGUGUACUAGUUAAUUUAAUUUGUUUUACCAUUUAUUAUUAAUGUCAAAACUUCAUUUUAUCUCAUAAAGCUACUCAACUUUGAAUUUUAUUCCAAAAGUCACUCAACUAUGAGUGUUUUACUUACAAAGUCACCCAAUUUAAAUUUUUAUUCCAACAGUUACGCACUUAUGAAGUCACUCAUAGUCGAAUGUCCAUAUAAAUAUUGAAUAUCAAAUGAGUUGAAAACAAAAUCAAUAAAUACUCUUGGGUGAAGUUGGGACCCGGGAUUGGGGUCAGGAGUUGUCAGGUCCUCGUCGGGGUUGAGGUCUCUGGAUGGAGUCAUUGAUCUGGGUUGAGGUUUGGUCCAGAGUUAACUUUGGGUUGCAGUUCGUGGCAUGGGGUCAGUUGUCAGGUCCUAGGUUAAGGUUAGGUCGGGUUCUGGUCGAGGAUCAAGUUUUGAGCCGGUGUCGAGGUCAGGGUUUUGUUUUAGGUCAGUGUUGGGGUGAGGUCGGGUCGAGUCAAGUCCGUGUCUAUGUUAUAGGGUGGUUCCAGGUCUAGGUGUACAAAGAUACUCGUGGGACAAUAAUAUUUUUUACUAAUCAAACAUCAGAAAAUAAGUAAAAAAAUCAUUUAUUUUCCACGAAAAUAUUGUCCUACCAACUAGGAAGCAAUAUGUCAAAGUUCCCAACUUAUAAAACCAAUCAACAAACUAAAGUAAACUGCUUCAGCAUUUGCACCAUGGACUUAUGAAAAGUUCACUUCUUAUCUUAUUCUUCCUUUUGUGAUUAAGGACUUGUUGUCUUGCCAAGCUAACAGGCCACAAAUAUAUGGUUUGAGCUCAAAAAUAACUUCAAGACUCUAUGAUACACUUGCUUGCUAUAUGGUUUGAGCUCAUGAUUGCCCCAACAACAGGCAAUGGCGGAGCGAGCCGUGAUGGCAAGGCAGAAAUGAAGUCUACCAAAUCAUUCAGAUUCUUAUGUGAAGUGCCUUCAAUCUGCAUAGCAGCAACUAUGUUUUGUUUCAUGUCUACUACUCUUUUCUUCACAUCUUUGCCUUCUUCACUUAGCAUAAGUUUUCUUAUUGUUUUCUCUAUGACCGUUCUCUCGAUAGCCUCCAAUUCGAACCCAACCUUGUAUAUUUGGCUCAGAUACCUUGCGUUCACUGGUUGGUCUCCUAAAAAUGGCCUGCAUAUCAUAGGGACUUCUUCACAAAUACUUUCAACCGUAGAAUUCCAACCGCAAUGUGUGAAAAAGCCUGUUACCCCGGGAUGUGCAAGCACCUGUUUUUGUGGUGCCCAUUUCACUAUUCGUCCUCUUUCUCCUACCAUUUUCUCAAAACCAUCAGGCAGUGCCUCAGCACAUUGAAAGCCAGAGACAGAGCCAGGUCGAAUAACCCACAAGAACGGCUGAUCACUAUUAGCUAAUCCCCAAGCUGUCUCAAUUAGCUCUUUGUCAUCAAUCCUCACUAGGCUACCCAAGCUGACAUAGAGAACAGAGUUUGGGGCAUGUCUAUUGAGCCACUCGAUGCAGCUAUUGUCUUCUUCUAGUAUGCUAGUCGAUGAGGCCAAAGGUGCCAUUUUGUGUAAAGGGCCUAUUGGAAAGAAGGGCACCUUGUAAUGUUCUUGAAGGCGUAAUAACAUUGAACUCUCCAAGUCUUGCAUCGUGUUCCAUAUAGUCGCGACAGAUGAUCCUAUAUCACUCAUUGCUCUACAGAAGUCUAGUAUCGAUUCUGGAACUGUAUUUUUGAUGGUAGGAAACGGUACAUCCUUAAAUCUCAAGGGAUGAAGCUCCGGUAAUGGAUCCAGCAGCUGAGAAUCUGAAAUUGCAUAGAGUAAUCAAUGCAAACUUAGCAAAAGAUGAGCAUAAUGGAAGAAAAAUUUACCAAAAUAUUUUACUUAAACUGUAAAAUAACUGUACUUGUCAUUUUUUCUGUUUGCACGCCCAUUAAGAAAACAUUAACUAUAAGGAUGAUUUUUUCAUUUAGAUGUUGAAGCAGAGUAUGUGUAAUUGUUCUCAUACCUUCAAAAGGUAAAUAUUUUUCAGGUUGCUGAAAAAUGGUGAUCAUAGAGUGCAAAUAUGCAGCACUGAAAGUACGGAGGACAAUGCUGGGAAGCUUCAACUGAGUGGCUACAUCAUCGACAAAGAACAUGACGUUGUCAUAAACGAUACAAGCAAGCUGAUCACCUUCCUCUUCCAUCAUACUAACAAGGUAGUUUCUGAG